This is a long non-coding RNA of Phyllopteryx taeniolatus (common seadragon), 1923 nucleotides long. RefSeq lists it as uncharacterized. The record is from RefSeq and is a predicted model, not a curated record. NCBI's taxonomy places the organism in Eukaryota, Metazoa, Chordata, Actinopteri, Syngnathiformes, Syngnathidae. The transcript is spliced from 2 exons.
GCAAGUGUCUAGUAAUUUGGAAAAAAAAGUGUAUAGGAAUAGUGGGGCUACUACUGAUUCGACUAGAGAAAUUAUAUCCACUUAAUCCAAAGUAUUGCUACUAAACUAAUGUGUGCACAGGUUAAUGUUGUGUCUUGCUGUUCAGUGUUUUAACAGAGGCCAUUGUUUUUAAACAUGUCGUAUUUAUAUGCACACACAAAUCACUAUUUUUCCAUACACUUAUGAGCUAGUGUCAUGAAGGCACAUUUGAUAAAGAGACUCAGCUGUGUGUCCAAGUCUGUGUGUGGUUGUGUAAGUGUUUGUUGUUGUUUAGUGCUAGUGCGACUGCGCAAUAUGGCCAGUUUAGCACUUAAAGAAUGAAUGGAAUGUUAUUUUACACACACACACACUCACACACAUACACGCACACGCGCGCGCGCGCAUCUAUUUCUCUUCUUCCCUCACCAACACAUUUUGAUUUGACUUGUUUUAGACAGAGUAUGCAUUGACCAAUCAGUCUACUAUGAUAUUAGGGGUAGUCCUAUGUUUUCAAGCCUGUGAAACAUGGGAAUAUGUCCAACCAGGAAAAUUGGAAUUAUAUCUGAGUUCUGCAUUUGAUUAAAAAAAAAGACACAGGGCUUACUGUUGAGUCAGCCGGUGAACCCUGUUUAAGAAGGCAGUUGUUUUGAGAAGCUAAGUGAUUAUCAAGAGAUAAUUUGCUUCUCAAAAGCACAGCAUGUUUGUUCUUGAACCACAGAGAGAUGCAUUUCUUUUGUCUUCUCGCAGUCAUGCCGGUUUGUCUACUCACAACUCGAGGUGUGGAGGUAAAGAAUGAGUUUAUACAAGAGGUACACACACAUGCUGAUGGCUUGCUGGAGGUAUGAAUGCUGUAAAGAUAGACAGGGAUAACAAUCGUAUAUAUCACCGCGGUGCUCGUUUGAGACCAAAAUGGUGUCAGACUUACUUGAGGAUUUCCUUGCUCACUGACACCACAUAUCUUUAAGCUAAAUCUUUCCCAUUCUUUUCUUAUUUUCCAUGUGACCUAGCUACAUCCCUCUGUGUUCGCCUCAUUGAUUUGUACCGCGUUCUGACAUUCAGACUGCACUGUUCACCCUGUGGUGACCCUGGACACACGCUCAGAUACCCAUAGAGAGAAAAAGGGUCUCAUACCCUUCGGACUUCCAAAGAAGGAGAGGUAGCAGAUAAAACCUAUUCUGCUGUUGCAAGGAGGUAUGACUCUAAAUAUUUGAUGUGUACAGGAGUAGGGCUGAUAUUGUGAGGACCCUGGAUGAGAAAUGAAAGAAUAAAAGGGGAACAGGGUCCUGAGGUGCUGUGAGAGAAAAUGCUGCUCAAGGGAACACUGAUUGUUAUUGUGAAAGCGAAGGUUCGUUCUGCCCACUCGAAAUUAUUCCACCAAGGUCAUAGCAGUGAUGCAAAACGCAGUUUAUGUGGAAAAACGGUGUCAAACGGGAGCCUCCACAUGGGCAUACCCCAUCCCUGUACCACCCAGGGAAGAGAAUACAACAAAAGAGUUUGUUAAUUUAAAAUGUCGCUGUGGGGAUUGGAAGGUCAUAGGUUUAAGACAAACUGUCAGACAAACAUUUACUGAAUAAAAAAUAUAAAUCGGCACUGUGUCAUAUACUGCCCUGCAGUUCCAUUAUUGGAGCCGGCCGGGAGGGCGCUUUGUGUGCUCUCUCUCCCCCCGCCCCUCUCUGUUUUCAGCACCUGUCUUCAAUCAGCUUCAUCACCACCGGUGUAUAUAAGCCUGCCUGUUCCUGGAAAUCUGCGCUUAAGUAUUGCAGACUCUCCUAGCGUGCUCCCCUGUGUUCCUGACCCACGCCAUUCCUGCCACCAAACCAGCCGCCUGUUCUGUCCAUGCCGCGCCUGCCAACACAUCCAGGGCCGCCUCCAUAACCUUUCUUCAAUAAACUGUUCAUCCUUUCA